UACGGAAGGCAGCAGUGGGGAAUAUUGCACAAUGGGCGCAAGCCUGAUGCAGCCAUGCCGCGUGUAUGAAGAAGGCCUUCGGGUUGUAAAGUACUUUCAGCGGGGAGGAAGGGAGUAAAGUUAAUACCUUUGCUCAUUGACGUUACCCGCAGAAGAAGCACCGGCUAACUCCGUGCCAGCAGCCGCGGUAAUACGGAGGGUGCAAGCGUUAAUCGGAAUUACUGGGCGUAAAGCGCACGCAGGCGGUUUUGUUAAGUCAGAUGUGAAAUCCCCGGGCUCAACCUGGGAACUGCAUCUGAUACUGGCAAGCUUGAGUCUCGUAGAGGGGGUAGAAUUCCAGGUGUAGCGGUGAAAUGCGUAGAGAUCUGGAGGAAUACCGGUGGCGAAGGCGGCCCCUGGGACGAAGACUGACGCUCAGGUGCGAAAGCGUGGGGAGCAAACAGGGAUUAGAUACC
Molecule: ribosomal RNA, 455 nt
Filed under: uncultured bacterium
Lineage: Bacteria
Description: bacterial SSU rRNA
Rfam family: Bacterial small subunit ribosomal RNA
Source: RNAcentral